CCUAGGAUUCCCGCGUGGUCCCCCACCGUGGUACUAACUAGGCGGCACUCUGGUUAACUUCGCAGAUCAGACGGGAUGCGGUGCUUUCAGAGUCCUAU
This 98-nucleotide ribosomal RNA is filed under the name Phlebiopsis crassa. Lineage: Eukaryota; Fungi; Basidiomycota; Agaricomycetes; Polyporales; Phanerochaetaceae. The record is from RNAcentral.